RNAcentral lists this unclassified non-coding RNA (24 nucleotides) under Severe acute respiratory syndrome coronavirus 2. Its description in RNAcentral is "RNA (5'-R(P*CP*CP*CP*UP*AP*UP*AP*AP*CP*UP*UP*AP*AP*UP*CP*UP*CP*AP*CP*AP*UP*AP*GP... from Severe acute respiratory syndrome coronavirus 2 (PDB 7DOK, chain T)". The record is from RNAcentral. Lineage: Riboviria; Orthornavirae; Pisuviricota; Pisoniviricetes; Nidovirales; Coronaviridae.
CCCUAUAACUUAAUCUCACAUAGC